CAACAUUUUUUUGUAGCCAAGCGUACUAAGGACGUAUGAUAACCAAAGUUGUUGUCACUGACAUUUACGUGGCAUGCAACAGUACGUCUGACAUAAAAAGUUAAUAUAUAACGAAGUUUGACCAAAUGUUUUCAUAAGACAUAGAGUUAGAGAAAACAACAAAUUGAUGUCUCACUGCAAUAUCAUCGGGGUUGUGCUCUCCUGUACUCCUUCCAUUUCCACUCGACCAACACAAAUUUCUCAUUCGCAUUGUCCUGCAUGUCCAAUAUCUCCCUAUUGCGCCUUUGGGACAGGUAAGUGCACGUCCAGAAGUAUAGAUCUGUUCUCUUUUCUAGUCGACUCUUCGACAACAACUCCUUCUUGCAGGUAUUCGGGUUGGUCACAGCAAGGCCAAUAAAAGCUGUCAAUUUUGACAGCAACAUUUUCACUGGCCGUCGUCGCCCAAUCGACGUAGUACAAAAGUUCGUAUGCGAAAAUUUUCUUCUUCUUCCCUUUUUUCUUCCCAGUGUCAAAAUUCCACUUGUCCUUGCUAUGCAAGCAGGACACAUCUAUGCUUGCUGCAGCCCCGUCUAGUGUGUCAGGCUCGUCACUUGAUCACUGCUCUCGAUAUCAAUUGGAACCUCAUCACGGUGUUCUUCGUAUCAAUUGUCUUUGAACAUCGUGAACCCAGUUCGACAGAGCUUUAUCGGCGUGACUGCAUACCUAUCACUAUUGAACGCAUCCUCGAACAGAGCCUUAUAGCUGUACACCUCGCGACAAUCGUUGUCCUUAAACUCUUUGUAAUCUUUGUUCUCCUGUGCCAGUACAAACGGACAGUGUCAUCAUAUAUGUUAUACAAACACAUAUGAAUGAAAUGCAUGGAUGGAAGCAUAAAGGAAUUGAAUCGUAAUUUCCCAAGAAAAAAUUGCAUUAACGGAAUGCUUUUAGGUUUAGCCCGAUGUAAUUCCUACUCGGUUGGACCAAUGGAAAAAUGAAAUCUCAGCAAACAGGCGAAUACAUGAACACAAGAACGGUGAUAUGGAAAUGGCUUUCGUUCAAAUCAUCCUCAUUACAUCGUAGACACAUCUAACUCCAGUCACUCACAAAGCAAACGCAUUCAUCGAAAAUCAAAAUGACCAGCAUUUAUGACAUUUAACAGAAAAUCAUGCGUAAUGAAUUUAAUGAAACAACCACAGGACAUUCAAAUCUCAUACAAAAGCCUGGAAAUGGUCGAUGAGUCACAGAACGAUGGUACCUUGAUCUUUCAAGCCCACCACUCCUCCGUCUAUCAAAUUUGUCGGUCGAUGGGUCAUACACAAUGCCGCUGGAGUUCAGCAACUCCUCAAAUCUCUUGUGUUUCAGGCGAAGAGCAUCCCAUCGAUUUUUUAAUUGCUGCUUGGUCCAAUUAUGCAUAGAGUUGGAAUUGAACAAGUAAACCAGUGUCUCCCAGCCGUGUUUCGUGAAACGCUUCCUAUUUCGGUGUCCUUCGACAAUGAGCCAUCUCAAG
This 1486-nucleotide long non-coding RNA is filed under the name Olea europaea subsp. europaea. The record is from RNAcentral. Lineage: Eukaryota; Viridiplantae; Streptophyta; Magnoliopsida; Lamiales; Oleaceae.